RNAcentral lists this long non-coding RNA (1364 nucleotides) under Theobroma cacao (cacao). Its description in RNAcentral is "long non-coding RNA (TCAC_LNC005392)". The record is from RNAcentral. Lineage: Eukaryota; Viridiplantae; Streptophyta; Magnoliopsida; Malvales; Malvaceae.
AAUUCUUGAGGAGAUAUUCAAUUGCAAAUCUAGCAAGGUGAGCAUUGAAAUUGAGUUGAUAUUUUAGUUGUUGAGAAUGAUUAAUAGUUAGAUUUAUGAAGUUAAGGUAGUUUAUUCAUUUGGGUGCGAUUAUAAUAGUGCAAAUAAAUAGCCACUUGAUGGUAGUUAGAAGCUAGUUAGGAAUCACUAGUGGAACAUGAUUUAAGAGAUAGCUUUUAGAAUUAUGGUUAUGUGAUUGAGUUGAUUGUGAUGCUAAUGUGUGAUAGGCUCCACCGAAACCCCACAUCACUAUUCGGGGCAUUAGUGGAAGUUGGAGCUGCUUUAAGAAUCAACAAAGACAGGUGAGUGAACUUGCAUUUCAAAACUGUUUUGGGAUAUGUGAAUGUAUUUGGACAAAUAUUUUGAAUGAUUUAUCCAAUUCUCUUUCAAAAAAAAAAAGUGCUUGGGAACAAGCCCUUAUGAAAUGUCUUUAUGUUGUGAAAUGGAAAGUAUGAUGAAUCCAUGUGUUUCGAUAUAAUGUUGAUAUAUAUAUAUAUAUAUAUGUCUAGUACAUUGAUAGAUAAUAUUGUGGAAUGGAUAUAACUGUGUGUGUGCAUGAUAUGGGGGGAUGCACAUACCGGUAAUGACGGUGUUGAGGUAGGCGGAUGAUGAUAUUGCCCAUGUGCACAAUAUGGGGAGAUGUACACGAUGGCAUUAGAUGUUCACGAUGUGGGGGGAUGCACAUGAUGACUCCAGCUAUGUGCACGAUGUAGGGGGAUGCACAUGAGCUAGGGAGGCGGUGGAUGUAUAUAUAUACAUAUAUGUUUGCAUAUGUUCACAUGUAUUAAUGCAAUAAAGAUUUUAUGAAUAACAUGUGUGACUAUAAUGUAUGUGGAAUCUUGCUUGCUGAACCUUGAGCAUUUUUUUUAGUGUUCCAAAUUGAUUUGCAUUGCAGUGAAAUGGUUUAUUUGGGAUGAAAGGAAGUCUUUCUUGUUGCUCUGUUUCUCGUUGCAGCGAGAAUGAAACUUUCUGUUCCGUUUAUCACUUGGCUGGUUUUUGCCAUAUUUUCCACUUCUCCAAUUUCAUGUUGAAUAUGAAUUCUCUAUCAUCACAUGAUUUAUCAACCAAGGGUUCAAUUAAGGGUUUUAAUAAGGACUUAAGCUAAAGUGCAUCGUUUUCAAAUAAGUGCAUUAUGAUUUCAAACUUUUCCUUAUUAUAUUGCUUGUUCCCUUCCUUGUUCACUCACUGGGUUUAUACUCACCAUUUUCAACUUCAUGUUUUCAGAUCAAGAGGCAGUUGGUAACUAGGUCGAGGUGUCUUCGUAUAUUUGACCCUUGGUAGGUGUCUCGGCAUUCAGUAGCUGUACAUUCAUCUGAGUCUCUCCG